Potamilus streckersoni is the source of this 72-nucleotide non-coding RNA. The record is from the annotation of a GenBank genome assembly. NCBI's taxonomy places the organism in Eukaryota, Metazoa, Mollusca, Bivalvia, Unionida, Unionidae.
ACUCCAGUGGCCUAGUGGUUAGAGCAUCUUCCUAAGAUACAGGAGGGUGUGGGUUCAAUCCCCGGUCGAGUC